ACGGAAGGCAGCAGUAGGGAAUAUUGCACAAUGGGGGAAACCCUGAUGCAGCAACGCCACGUGUGGGGAGAAGCAUUUCGGUGUGUAAACCACUGUCGUGAGGGAAUAAUGCUUGGCCUCGGCCAAGUUGAAUGUACCUCGAAAGGAAGCACCGGCAAACUUCGUGCCAGCAGCCGCGGUAAUACGAGGGGUGCAGGCGUUGUUCGGAAUCACUGGGCGUAAAGGGAGCGCAGGCGGAGAUGCAAGCAGUCUGUACAAUACCGGGGCCCAACCCCGGACCUGCAGACUGGACUGUUUCUCUUGGAUAGUUCAGGGGCAAGCGGAAUUCCUGGUGUAGCGGUGGAAUGCGUAGAGAUCAGGAAGAACACCGAUGACGAAGGCAGCUUGCUGGGGACUUAUAGACGCUCAUGCUCGAAAGUGCGGGUAGCAAACAGGAUUAGAUACCCUGGUA
Molecule: ribosomal RNA, 451 nt
Filed under: uncultured Fibrobacter sp.
Lineage: Bacteria; Pseudomonadati; Fibrobacterota; Fibrobacteria; Fibrobacterales; Fibrobacteraceae
Description: partial 16S ribosomal RNA
Rfam family: Bacterial small subunit ribosomal RNA
Source: RNAcentral